CUACGGGAUGCACCAGUGGGGAAUAUUGGACAAUGGGCGCAAGCCCGAUCCAGCAAUGCCGCGUGAGUGAAGACGGCCUUAGGGUUGUAAAACUCUUUCGCUAGGGAAGAUAAUGACUGUACCUAGUAAAGAAGUCCCGGCUAACUCCGUGCCAGCAGCCGCGGUAAUACGGAGGGGACUAGCGUUGUUCGGAAUUACUGGGCGUAAAGAGUUCGUAGGCGGACUGACAAGUUAGAGGUGAAAUCCCAGGGCUCAACCCUGGAACUGCCUUUAAAACUGUCAGUCUAGAGACCGGAAGAGGUUAGGGGAAUACCUAGUGUAGAGGUGAAAUUCGUAGAUAUUAGGUGGAACACCAGUAGCGAAGGCGCCUAACUGGUCCGGUACUGACGCUGAGGAACGAAAGCGUGGGGAGCAAACAGGAUUAGAUACCCGAGUAGUC
RNAcentral lists this ribosomal RNA (439 nucleotides) under uncultured bacterium. RNAcentral's name for it is "partial 16S ribosomal RNA". It matches the Rfam family "Bacterial small subunit ribosomal RNA", at positions 339 to 795 of the family's 1533-position model. The record is from RNAcentral.